RNAcentral lists this ribosomal RNA (465 nucleotides) under uncultured bacterium. RNAcentral's name for it is "partial 16S ribosomal RNA". It matches the Rfam family "Bacterial small subunit ribosomal RNA", at positions 28 to 504 of the family's 1533-position model. The record is from RNAcentral.
GACGAACGCUGGCGGCGUGCUUAACACAUGCAAGUCGAACGGAAAGGCCCUGCUUUUGUGGUGUGCUCGAGUGGCGAACGGGUGAGUAACACGUGAGUAACCUGCCCUUGACUUUGGGAUAACUUCAGGAAACUGGGGCUCAUACCGGAUAGGAGCUCCUGCUGCAUGGUGUGGGUUGGAAAGUUUCGGCGGUUGGGGAUGGACUCGCGGCUUAUCAGCUUGUUGGUGGGGUAGUGGCUUACCAAGGCUUUGACGGGUAGCCGGCCUGAGAGGGUGACCGGCCACAUUGGGACUGAGAUACGGCCCAGACUCCUACGGGAGGCAGCAGUGGGGAAUAUUGCACAAUGGGCGGAAGCCUGAUGCAGCAACGCCGCGUGCGGGAUGACGGCCUUCGGGUUGUAAACCGCUUUCGCCUGUGACGAAGCGUGAGUGACGGUAAUGGGUAAAGAAGCACCGGCUAACUAC